CCUACGGGUGGCAGCAGUGAGGAAUUUUGCGCAAUGGCCGCAAGGCUGACGCAGCAACGCCGCGUGGGUGAUGAAGGCCUUCGGGUCGUAAAGCCCUGUCAGGUGGGAAGAAAGGCCUGGAGAGGAAAGGUUUCAGGUUUGACGGUACCACCAGAGGAAGCACCGGCUAACUCCGUGCCAGCAGCCGCGGUAAUACGGAGGGUGCGAGCGUUAUUCGGAAGUACGGGGCGUAAAACGCGUGUAGGCAGGGCCCUGGGCUUAACCUGGGAAGCGCAUUGGAAACUGUUUUUCUUGAGUACUGGAGAGGAAGGGGGAAUUCCCGGUGUAGAGGUGAAAUUCGAAGAGAUCGGGAGGAAUACCAGUGGCGUAGGCGCCCUUCUGGACGGUAACUGACGCUGAGACGCGAAAGCGUGGGGAGCAAACAGGAUUAGAUACCCUAGUAGUC
RNAcentral lists this ribosomal RNA (445 nucleotides) under uncultured bacterium. Its description in RNAcentral is "partial 16S ribosomal RNA". It matches the Rfam family "Bacterial small subunit ribosomal RNA", at positions 338 to 795 of the family's 1533-position model. The record is from RNAcentral.